The sequence is a small nucleolar RNA, 104 nucleotides long. It matches the Rfam family "Plant small nucleolar RNA R71". From Rfam's summary of the family: R71 is a member of the C/D box family of snoRNAs containing the C (UGAUGA) and D (CUGA) box motifs. Multiple nearly identical copies of this snoRNA have been identified in Arabidopsis, and it is thought to function as a 2'-O-ribose methylation guide for 18S ribosomal RNA. The record is from Rfam.
UACCCAUGAUGUGGACAUUUCAGGAGUAGCCCAUUGAAUCGCUCCCAUGUUUCGAAAAACUGUUCGUCCUCACUCUGGGUAAAUUCUGAGAUUUCCCUGUGAAU